RNAcentral lists this ribosomal RNA (249 nucleotides) under uncultured bacterium. RNAcentral's name for it is "partial 16S ribosomal RNA". It matches the Rfam family "Bacterial small subunit ribosomal RNA", at positions 524 to 776 of the family's 1533-position model. The record is from RNAcentral. RNAcentral also lists the same sequence under 1 other name.
AACGGAGGGGGCAAGCGUUAUUCAUCCUUAUUGGGCGUAAAGGGUAUGUAGGUAAUGAAAAGUGUUUUUUUAAAAAGCUCAAAUACCAAUUUGAAACAGAAAAAAACAUUGAUUAAUUCGAGAUGUAAGAGGUUGGCGGUAUUACUAAUGUAAAGGUAAAAUCUAACGAGAUUAGUACGAAUACCUGAGGCGCAGGCGGCUUUCUUUAUCAUCUGACACUGAAAUACUAAAGCGUGGGGAUCAAACAGG